UUUUUUUGACUAAAUAAAAGAUAUUCAUUCAUUCAAAUUGAUAAGAGUACAUCGAUGCAAUACAAAUCAAAAUCGCUAAAAACAAAAAGGAUGAAUCUGCGAACAAACUCACAGCAUCCGUGUUAAUAGCAUCAAACGGCAUAUUGCAAAAUCCUACAUAUUUGACUAUAUUGAAGUUUCCGAAACAUUCAUGUCGCCGGAUCUGUAGCGUUGAUGGUACAAAAGUCAUUGAUUGGAUCUGCACUGGAUCAACCUUAAUCUUCAAACCUGAAACAAAUGAACACCGCACAAAGACGGGACAACAAUACUCCGN
RNAcentral lists this long non-coding RNA (313 nucleotides) under Trifolium pratense (red clover). RNAcentral's name for it is "long non-coding RNA (TPRA_LNC002939)". The record is from RNAcentral. Lineage: Eukaryota; Viridiplantae; Streptophyta; Magnoliopsida; Fabales; Fabaceae.